Molecule: unclassified non-coding RNA, 337 nt
Filed under: soil metagenome
Description: partial contains 5.8S ribosomal RNA, internal transcribed spacer 2, and large subunit ribosomal RNA
Rfam family: 5.8S ribosomal RNA (bases 1-120)
Source: RNAcentral
GAUGAAGAACGUAGCGAAAUGCGAUAAGUAAUGUGAAUUGCAGAAUUCAGUGAAUCAUCGAAUCUUUGAACGCACAUUGCGCCCGCCAGUAUUCUGGCGGGCAUGCCUGUUCGAGCGUCAUUUCAACCAUCAAGCCCCAGGCUUGUGUUGGGGACCUGCGGCUGCCGCAGGCCCUGAAAACCAGUGGCGGGCUCGCUGUCACACCGGGCGUAGUAGAUUUUAUCUCGCUCAGGGCGUGCUGCGGGUUCCGGCCGUUAAAAAGCCUUUUUUACCCAAGGUUGACCUCGGAUCAGGUAGGAAUACCCGCUGAACUUAAGCAUAUCAAAUAAGCGGAGGA